GUUUAAGCUGUCAUAUUUGGGGGCCCAUUUGUUUCUCAGCCUAAGCUGUACCCCGUCGGGUGUGCCUAUAUGUGAAUAGCGUGUGGGCUCAGCUGAUGGACCAGACAUUCCAUGUACUGGCGCAUAACAUUCUGACUCGCGUGCAGUAAGAACAAAAGGAAAUACAGCCCAAUUUGGUAAAAUUCUCUCACAGCCUGGAAAAGAGCAUCCCGAACAGUGGAGAGGAAGAGGGAGUGAGGCCCUGUGGACACAGCAGAGGAAUCCACAAUGGAUUUGCAGCAGGCUGGUGGAGGCAGAGCAGAGAAGGGCGGGAGAGGGCCAGCGAAGGCCUGGGAAG
RNAcentral lists this long non-coding RNA (337 nucleotides) under Homo sapiens (human). RNAcentral's name for it is "non-protein coding lnc-ERCC6L2-2:6". Lineage: Eukaryota; Metazoa; Chordata; Mammalia; Primates; Hominidae. The record is from RNAcentral.